GGGGGGGGGGGGGGGGGGGGCGGGGGGGGGCGGGGGGGGGGGGGGGGUCGGGGGGAGGGGCGCAGGGGUGCGGAACGGGUGGGGGCCUGCCCUGAGGUUCGGAAUAACGCCCCGAAAGGGGUUCUAAUACCGGAUAAUGUCUUCGGACCAACGAUUUAUCGCGUUGGGAGGGGCCCGCUGUGGAUUAGCUAGUUGGUCGGGUAAAAGCCUACCAAGGCGACGAGCCAUAGCUGGUCUGAGAGGAUGAUCAGCCACACUGGGACUGAGACACGGCCCCGAUUCGUACGGGAGGCAGCAGUGGGGAAUAUUGGACAAUGGGCGAAAGCAUGAUCCAGCAAUGCCGCGUGAGUGAUGAAGGCCUUAGGGUUGGAAAGCUAUUUUACCCGGGAGGAUAAUGACAGUACCGGGAGAAUAAGCGCCGGCUAACUCCGUG
RNAcentral lists this ribosomal RNA (433 nucleotides) under uncultured bacterium. RNAcentral describes it as "partial 16S ribosomal RNA". It matches the Rfam family "Bacterial small subunit ribosomal RNA", at positions 39 to 507 of the family's 1533-position model. The record is from RNAcentral.